UGAAGCUGCAAGUGCUCAGUCCAAGUUGGGCAAGUUGGUGUUUGUAACUUCUUUCUAUGAAAGUCUGAUAUGGGUUCUCUCCUAAACUUCUGUUAGAACGGUGGGAAACAUUGCUCCCGUGAGAACGGUAUAGUGGACUUCAUCGCCACUGACCCACAGUUAUUAGGGUGUGACACGAACUUGUGGACAGAGUACCGAGCUGCUGCUUUGCCAGGUGGAUUUCUGGUUGCGGGCAAAGGACCCGACACAUCAGUGUGUUUUAAUUUGUUUUAAACUGGUGUAAGUCGACGGUCCGACUGCUGCGGCUGUCGAUUGUUUUGUUUUUUUUGUUUUAUUUUUUCUAUAUCAGUAGGCACCACAAAUGUGCUGCAGGGAAAACAAAUCCUUUUUUUUCCUCACCGCUUCUGCAUGCACAGCGGUGGGCCUGAGUGAAGACGGCACUGAAGCUUUUGUUUUUCUCUAUAGUGUUUUGCCCAUCUGGGGUCGUGUGUCAGUUGCCGUCCCUUUUUAACCUGUGUGUUGUGUUGAUUUGUUCUUACACGGUUCCCCGCAGCGCUUGUCCUGUCUCACGGGCAAUCGUACAGUUUUAUCGUUUUUAUUAAACAAGGUAAAGUUUUUAAUUGUUGUUAAGUGCCGCUGUUACAUUGUUACUUUUAUUUUGUAUUAAAAAUUAAAUUCUUUU
Oreochromis aureus is the source of this 682-nucleotide long non-coding RNA. The record is from Ensembl. NCBI's taxonomy places the organism in Eukaryota, Metazoa, Chordata, Actinopteri, Cichliformes, Cichlidae.